Anthonomus grandis grandis is the source of this 3067-nucleotide long non-coding RNA. RefSeq lists it as uncharacterized. NCBI's taxonomy places the organism in Eukaryota, Metazoa, Arthropoda, Insecta, Coleoptera, Curculionidae. The record is from RefSeq and is a predicted model, not a curated record. The transcript has 2 exons.
UAUGAUCAAAAAUGUUUUGAUUAAAUUUAAAUAUAAUUCGAAUAUUCUACUACAAUAAAAACAAAUUAUUUUCAACUUUUUAUCAACUAUUUUCAACUAUUUAUUUUUUCAACUAUUUAUCGUCUAUGUAUUAUGCCUAAGGAGCUGUUCGAAGUGACCGCCUUCGACUUCCAAACACUUUCUUAUCCUUUCUUGACAGAGUUUCGUACCCGCUGUAACAUUGCUGGUGUCACUAAUAAACAAGCAAAACGAAUCCUGUUUUUCAUGUCCUCUGGAGUUGUAGGUGCACUAGCCAUUACUUUGUCUUUUAUAAAUCCCCAUAAAAAAAAGUCAAGGGGGGUCAAAUCUGGCGAACGAGCAGGCCAGUUGACAGGACCACCUCGACCAAUCCACCUAUUUUCAAAAAUCUCAUUUAAAUAAGUACGGGCCUGUAUGGCAUAAUGGGGUGGAGCUCCGUCCUGCUGAAACCAUACGUUAGGAUUUAAAUUUUGAUUUAGUAGACGAGGUAACUAAUUUCUUAAAAAAUCUGUGUAGACCUGUCCAUUUAAAUGACCUUGGAAAAAAUGCGGACCAAUAACUCUAUCCUCGAAAAUACCACACCAUACGUUCACAGACCAGGGAUGUUGAUUUGGUACAGUUCUCAUCCAGUGAGGAUUAUUUGCUGCCCAGUAAUGCAUGUUGUGCCUGUUUACCUUUUAGAAAAACAAACAACCAAAACUUGAAUAUGUUCUAAUUUAAAUAAGUUAAAUCGUACCUGCCCGCAAUUAUUAAAAGAAGCCUCAUCAGAAAAAAUAACGUUUCUCAAAAAAUGAUUAUUUUCACGCAUUUUUGUUGAAAUCCAAGUGCAAAAAUUAAUGCGAUUCUCAAAAUCAUGUCCGUAAAGCUCUUGAUGAAGUGUAAUGUGGUAAGGAUGAAACUUGUACCGGUGCAGAAUUGUUAUAAUUGAUGAUUGACUAAUUCCAGCAUCUAAAGCAAGCCGCCUGGUACUGAUUUGAGGAUCAAUAGCUACUGCUCCUAAUACAGCAACUGCCUUAUUUUCAUCUGUUUGCGUUUUAAUCCGAUUUCGUCGUUUACUUUUUAGACUACCAGUCAUACGACUUCUGGUCUCCAGUCUCUUAAAGGCCAUAUGAGAUUUUGGAAUAUCCGGAAGCCUCUCGGCCCACACUACUGCAGCCUCCCUAUAAUUUUCUGCACUCCCCCAAAAUUAACAACAUAUCUACUUCUACACUGAAAUUCGCUUCAAUUUUUUUCUUUUUAAACACAAUUUACUUGUUAAUAACACGUUAAAAUUUUUAUGUGACAUUGCUUGUUAUGUUGGUAUGAAAAUCCUACUGUUACUAGGAUUUUCAUUUCCAUCCAUACUAGUAAAAUAAACAGUAGGAUUUCCAUGGCAACCGGCUGUUAUUAUGGUAAAAUAUUUGAAUUAUUUUUAAAUUUAAUCAAAACAUUUUUGAUCAUAAUUCCGUAACCAGCAGAGCAAUUUUAAAAAUUUUUUGUAAACAGACUUCAUAUUUUAUGUAGAUUCGUAUUUAAGAAUAAAAAACACGUCAUUCCAUUUAAAAUAAGGAAGUGACCCUCCCCCCCUCUUAGGGGGGUAAAGGGACAAAUGUCAAAAAUAUCACAAAAAGUGCCCCCCGGUAUACUUGAAAUGUCACCAAAAUGUAAAAAAAAGAUUUGCAGCCGUUUUUGAUAUAUCGCAUUGUAACACUUUAAAAAACUCACCCUGUAUAUUAUUGAUGGUAUGGUUAUAGUCCAAGAAUUGAAACCAACUUCCUCUUUGACUUUUAACGGUUUAGCACAAAUAUUCUUAAAUCGAAUGCUAAGUUGCGGACGGAAACACAAUGCUAAGAGAAUAACAGUUGUUUUUGACACUUACACAUGUAAUUCAUUAAAAUCUGCUGAGAGAUUCAGAUACAACAGAAUACAAAAUUUUUGGGUCUCGAAAAGUUCCAAUUUUUAAUGAUUUUCUCAAAUCAUCCAACAAUAAGAAGGCCUUAUUAGUUUUUACUGUAAGUUAUCUUUUGGAAUUUGCAGCAAAAUCUCUAAAUAAGAAUGAAACUUUAAUAGUAGCAGGAGGAUCUGAAAAUUCCGAAAAUGUCUAUAUUAUAACAACCGAUAAAGAGCCACAAAUUUGGGAAGAAUACAAAAGUAAUCAGAAAGAAGCAGAUACUCGAAUUAUUCUUCACGUCCUGGCAGAGCGAGAGCAUAGUAAUUCUAUUCUUGUCAAAUCUGUGGAUACCGACGUAUUACUUUUACUUUUACACCAUUUCAUUGUUACAAAACAAAUAAAGAGCUGUAAAUUACUUAUGGAAUUAGGGCAUUCAAAAAAUCAACGCUUCUUAGCAAUUCAGGAUGUAGUUCAAAAAUUGGGAAAAGCAGUUUUAAGAAACAUUUUGGCAGUUCAUUGCCUCACGGGAUGCGACACAACUAGUUCGUUUUUCAAAAUUAGUAAAAAAACAGCCUUUGAUGUACUAAUAAAAAAUAUCGUUAGGCUAAAAGAACUAUAUGAUCUGCCAUUUGUAUCGGAUACAGAAGCAGUUAAACGGAGUACACAAUUUAUUUUACUUCUAUAUAGAAACAAGGUCAAUGAUAUUUCUACCCUAAAUGCACUACGAUUGCAUUUAACUACAAAUGCAAAUAAAUCUGCCGUGGAACUGCCACCAACUGACGAUGCAUUCAAACAGCAUUUAAAAAGGUGCAUAUAUCAACUAAAAGUUUGGUAUAACAGUCACAUACCAUAUAUGAAUUUUGAAGACCCAAGAAAAUAUGGAUGGACAAAUGAUAUAGAGUCUAAUAUAUGGACUCCAAUAUUUGCGACACAGGAUCCCGUCCCAAAGGAACUACGGAAAAUUUUAGUUCUUCGAUGUUCCGAUGGAAACUGCAACACUAAAAAGUGUAUAUGUGUAUCCCAGGGCUUGAAGUGUUAUAACGAGUGCAACUGUAAAUUUUGUGGCAACAAAGACAUUAUAGACACACCAGAUUCAUUGGAAUCACAAAAUGAUGAUGACUAUUAAAAAUUAAAGUUCGUUUAAUUAAAAUAUUCAAAUAAAUUAUUUUUUUAAGUUUA